GUACUCCUAAUUAUAUGGUGUACGGUGAAACUGGCACGUAUCCCUUGGAAAUUAAAGUACGAUUACGAAUUUUAUCAUUCUGGUCAAAAUUAUUGUUAAACAGCACGAAAUUAUCAGGAUUAUUAUACCAAUUUUUGUAUAAGAUGCAUAAUUCUGGAAAUAUUGUUUCUAAGUGGAUUAAUUGUAUUAGAUCUACAUUAGACAACACAGGUUUAAGCUAUGUAUGGAACAAUCAAUGUAUUUUAAGAAAUGUUGACAUCAAAAUAUAUGUUAAGCAAAUUUUACAAGAUCAGUUUAUUCAAAAGUGGUUUAGUGAUGCUGAAAACUCUUCUAGAGGUGGAUAUUAUUUACUGUUUAAACACGCUUUUUGUUUAGAAAAUUAUUUGGUAAGAUUAAAAAAAGAAAAUAGAAUAUAUAUUACCAAACUUAGAUGCUCAAAUAUCAAAAUUCCACUAGAAACUGGUCGAUGGCAU
This 473-nucleotide long non-coding RNA is filed under the name Mytilus galloprovincialis (Mediterranean mussel). Lineage: Eukaryota; Metazoa; Mollusca; Bivalvia; Mytilida; Mytilidae. The record is from RNAcentral.